Molecule: transfer RNA, 68 nt
Filed under: Allobates marchesianus (dull rocket frog)
Lineage: Eukaryota; Metazoa; Chordata; Amphibia; Anura; Aromobatidae
Description: tRNA-Ser
Source: RNAcentral
GAGUAUGUAAGGCCCCGAUGAGAACUGCUAAUUCCUCAUCCCCAUGGUUCAAAUCCAUGGCUUACUCA